UCGAGCAUCUACUACUCACUUAUUAUUUUUUUAAAGAAAUGUUAAGAAUGACAGGAUAUAAAUAGUCACAUAUUAAUAAAUGACAUCCUCAGGAAGGACCCAGAACAACUGAGCAAAAGUAAUCACCAAAAAGCUAGCAGAAGAAAAUAUUAUUAAACAAAAAAAGAACUGCUUCAUGGUCUAAAAUUACUGAAAAACAAAAUAAGAAAAUUAAGAAACACAUAAAUACUGCAAUAAAUACUGCAAUAAAUACAGCAUUUUACCUUGAAAAAGUCCUGAAGUUUGCUUGUGGAAGAAGGUGUCAGAAGGAUUCCAGCUCAUGAGUUACUGUGAAGUGGUGGAAGGAUGAUUAGCUGACUGGUUUCUGUGGGAGAAGUGCAAGACAAGUCAUGAAAGAUUACUCAAGAUCAGAACUUUGAAGACCAAGUUCUGAACAUGGCCCGCGAUUUGGCAAAUACUUAGUCAUUGAAUGCUGAAGAGCAGGGACAUCUUCAGAUCACUUCUCUCCAAAAAUGUGUGACUAUUAACAUUCUUGGCAAUAUUACUUCCAUUAUUUAGAUUACUUUUAUUGGUCACUACUGAUGGUAGCCAACCUCCAAGAUGGUCUUCAGUGAUCUCUUACUCCUAGUAUUUAUGCCCUUGUGUGAACUCUCCCAUAUUGUAUCAGGGUUGGUCUGCAUUGCCAGCAGGAUAUGGCAGUAGUGAUGGUUUGUCACUUCUGAGUUCAGGUUAUAAAAGACUUUGUACACUUUUGUACACUCGUGUGUGCGUAUCUCCCU
This 779-nucleotide long non-coding RNA is filed under the name Homo sapiens (human). RNAcentral describes it as "non-protein coding lnc-AGBL1-6:1". The record is from RNAcentral. Lineage: Eukaryota; Metazoa; Chordata; Mammalia; Primates; Hominidae.